AGCUUUGCGCAGCGGCUGUAUCGUAGCAAAUGAGGUUUAUCUGAGGCGUGAUUAUUGCUAAUAGUAUCAAAACUGAAAAUAAAGCCUUGUCAAUCUAUCAAUAUGUAAAUAACUAUAUUAGUUAUAUAUAUGAAUGUCCAGUAUGAUACACAGGUC
Molecule: small nuclear RNA, 156 nt
Gene: U4
Rfam family: U4 spliceosomal RNA
About the family: U4 small nuclear RNA (U4 snRNA) is a component of the major U2-dependent spliceosome. The structure of U4 snRNA from yeast and human has been reported.
Source: Ensembl